This is a non-coding RNA of Sus scrofa (pig), 436 nucleotides long. Lineage: Eukaryota; Metazoa; Chordata; Mammalia; Artiodactyla; Suidae. The record is from RefSeq and is a predicted model, not a curated record.
CUCCAGGUGGUUUUUAUGCAUACUAAGGUUUAAGAAGCACUGGGCCCGGACACAGGGCAAGUCAUUAGCUAUAAAAAAGGGAAGGGAGAGGGGUGAAGUCUGUCUCCACAUUACUGGAAGAGUCUUCUUUUUACGUCACUUGGCCCCUCUCUUCAGGGGAUUUGGGUAGGAAGACUUUAAUGUUUUAUGGGAAUUUUAAAGAUGAGAACCAUUGGGUGGAGGAAUGGAUUUGUGACGUAACUCAACUUCAAGUUGAGCUUUGAAGUAUGUGCUGAAGAGGAAAAGGAAGACCUUGGUCAUCAGACCAGCCCUCUGGACAUUUGCUCCAUUUCCAAAGAGGGACAACCUAUCUAGGACUGGAGUACUUCAUUACAGAUGGGAUUUAUGGUCUUAUAAACUCUAAAUCACUGUGUCUAAUAAAGAGUCUUGCAGGCCU